Molecule: transfer RNA, 76 nt
Filed under: Bacillota bacterium
Lineage: Bacteria; Bacillati; Bacillota
Description: tRNA-Arg
Rfam family: tRNA
About the family: Transfer RNA (tRNA) molecules are approximately 80 nucleotides in length.
Source: RNAcentral
GCCCCCGUAGCUCAGAGGAUAGAGCGAUGGCUUCCGAAGCCAUGCGUCGUAGGUUCGAUUCCUAUCGGGGGUACCA